UGUUAAAAUUUUAUCAGUUAUCAAACCGAUUUUAUCAUUAAUCGGCCAGUUACCGAUUAAUUUCUCCGAUUUGAGUGAAAUCGCGUCGGAUGAGUACUGCCGAGUGAUUAUCCGGCCGCCUGCGUUUUUGAAUAGGGGUUCCAACCAUACUAAUUUGUAAACGUUUCGGUGCAUGUAGGAUUUUUUUUUUUUUGUUUUAGUUCUUGAAAUGUGAUAUUUAUUUGAAUCACAAAAUCGAGGGUUUAUGUAUAAAUGAACGAAAAUACCAAACCACCUAUAUGACGAAACAGAGCAUAAGAAACAGAUGAUGAGAGAUUAAGCUAUCGGGAUAGUAGACAUUAGACCAGCUUUGAAGGAGGGGCUCAUCAUUUCUGGCAAGUCCUUGUGGCGAGAGAUGAUACGAAGAAGGAUGACCUUGUCAAUGAUAUGAGCUAGG
Molecule: small RNA, 436 nt
Filed under: Arabidopsis thaliana (thale cress)
Lineage: Eukaryota; Viridiplantae; Streptophyta; Magnoliopsida; Brassicales; Brassicaceae
Description: putative long intergenic non-coding RNA
Source: RNAcentral